GUUAAAUUAUUUUGAAUAAUAGUAUAUUAAAAUAAUUUGGGAAUAUUAUUUUAUUUUAUUUUAAAUAAAAAACAAUUAAAAUUUAAGAAACACGUUUCAUAUUUACGUGGAAGAUACACGUUUGAACAUCCAACUGUGUUCUGGCACGUACGGCAAAGUCCACAACGCCGACCUAAUUCCGGUGAUGAUGAUCAUAAUGCCUCUCGCCCUCCCUAACAAAAUCGGAUUCUCGUCACCUUUUCUCUAUAAACCAAGCACAACAAGGGGAGGGGGAGGAGGAGGAGGAGGAAGCAGUUGUUUUGCUUUUACUUGUCGCUCUGUUUCAUCACUUACCAGCUUCACUUGGGACGGCGUCGUUCAAGCCUCUCAAGCUGACUAUGCCCCAAAUGAUUCUUCAGAUCUCUCUGGCUUCUUCGAAAAGAUCAAAUACUGCAAUCGCGGCUCCUCCGAGAUAAAAUCUGAAUUUAUUCCAUUGGUGAUAGAGGAUCAAAUAGUUGGUUACAUACAUAACGGUUUUUUUUAUAAUUAUUUGAGGAGGUUUAAGGACGUGUUUGUUUUUGUGCCAAGUGAUUCUCGUUUUGGCACCAAUGUGACUUUAAAUAAAACACUAAGCACACCAGAGGAAAGAACCAGAGUUGUUGGAAAAGUAAUCGAAUGCUUGGCAGAAGAAGAAAAGGAACUGAUUCCAGGAAUACGAAAUGAGUUGUACCCAGUCGCACCUUCGUUUGGAUCGCCCCCCUAUUUUUCCAUUGAACGUGCUGCUGCUACUUAUUUUGGAAUUAAGGCAUAUGGAGUUCAUAUGAAUGGUUUUGUGAAAAGCGAUGGGGAGAAGUUCUUAUGGAUAGGAAAGAGAAGUCCAAUGAAACAAACUUUUCCUGGGAUGCUUAAUCAUCUUGUUGCUGGUGGACUGCCUCAUGGGAUGUCUUGUGUUGCAAAUCUUAUAAAGGAAUGUGAAGAGGAAGCAGGGAUUCCUCUAUCCCUUUCUAAUCAAGCCAUGUCAGUUGGUGCUGUUUCUUAUGUGGAUGUUGAUGGGUAUAGAUACGAGAGGGGUGUUCUAUUUUGUUAUGAUUUAGAACUCCCUGGUGGUUUUAUUCCUAAGAAUCAAGAUGGGGAAGUGGAGAGUUUCAAGUUGAUCCCCUUGGAAAAUGUUGCAAAUGUAAUACGGAGGACCCAUUUUUUCAAGCCUAAUUGCUCUCUUGUUAUCAUGGAUUUUCUGUUUCGACACGGAUCAUUGGAACACAAGGAGUGAUGAGGUAGAUCAUGGUGUAUUCCCCGUAACCUCCACCAUUUUCUAGAUCAUUGGAACACAAGGAGUGAUGAGGUAGAUCAUGGUGUAUUCCCCGUAACCUCCACCAUCACCGCUAUAUAAUACUAUCUUGAUGGGUUUUCAGCCAUAUCAUUCUUACAUGCAGAGAAAAUCACUCGAGGCGCAACUCAAGGACACUUCCUCUAAAUCUUUCUUUUCAUGAUUUAGUUUUGUGGAAUGGUUAUUGUACAUUGGUCCUGAAUGCUUGGGAUACUUGGAUCUAUUACAAAGUUUGAGAAGUGGAGAUACUUCCUAAAAAUAGAUGCUGAAUUUCAUUAAAGAUGCUGUAAUUGUUCUUAAUUACAUUAAGACAGGCAAGAGCAUGAUGAAGUCCUUGGGAUCAAGGAUGAUAGUGCUGAGUACAUUUGGUUUGCACCUGUCCAAGAGGCCAAAUUUGAGUUUUGCUUCUCUCGUUUCAUCAUCAAAGAGGAAUCCUAAUUUAUUGUA
This is an RNA transcript of Populus trichocarpa (black cottonwood), 1753 nucleotides long. It is a transcript of the gene named nudix hydrolase 20, chloroplastic, with no coding region annotated. The record is from RefSeq and is a predicted model, not a curated record. NCBI's taxonomy places the organism in Eukaryota, Viridiplantae, Streptophyta, Magnoliopsida, Malpighiales, Salicaceae. The transcript is spliced from 10 exons.